Long non-coding RNA from Anthonomus grandis grandis, 2581 nucleotides. RefSeq lists it as uncharacterized. The transcript is spliced from 3 exons. The record is from RefSeq and is a predicted model, not a curated record. NCBI's taxonomy places the organism in Eukaryota, Metazoa, Arthropoda, Insecta, Coleoptera, Curculionidae.
GUACGUUUAACGUCAGAAAUGCUUAUUAAGUUCCUUUUUCCUUUUUGAAUUCCUUGCGGGAUUAUGCGGAGAGAUUCGGAGAUUCCGAGGGAUAGUUGUUAGAUUUUACUUUAUAUGGAAAAAUUGCUUGAAACAACGGUUUUGUCUUAAUUUCGUCAUUCUGAAUCCAACGAGACCAUCCGCAAGGUCAUAGCUCUAAUAGUAGCUGAGAUAUGGCAUUUUUGGAGCCCAUUUUUGGCCUCAAAAACGAGGUCCAAAAAAUACUCGAUUUCUUAGUUCUGCUCGGAUUCCCUUAUAACCCGGUAUUUUCGUGAUCUACUUGAUGAGAACAAUCCGCUGGUAUAGUUAGUUCGAAUUAGAAAAAAAAAAAUUUUCUGAAAAAAAUCCAAACGGGGGGGUAUACCCGAAAAAUGAAAAAACCCAAACUUUGAAGGCCGAUAUCUCAGCUUCUAUGGGAGCUAUCGGGAAAAUUCCAACGGUUUUGUCUUAGUUUCGUCAUUCUGAAUCCAACGAGACCAUUUGCAAGAUCAUAGCUCUAAUAGCAGCUGAGAUAUGGCAUUUUUGGAGCCCAUUUUUGGCCUCAAAAACGAUGUCAAAAAGUGAUAAAUUUCCGAAUUUUCAAAGUGCUCUCAUUCCGUUAUUUCUGAUCGAAUCCUGUCAUAACCCGGUAUUUUCGUGAUCUACUUGAUGAAAACAAUCCGCUGGUAUAGUUAGUUCGAAUUCGAAAAAAAAAAAUUUUCUGAAAAAAAUCCAAACGGGGGGUAUACCCGAAAAAUGAAAAAACCCAAACUUUGAAGGCCGAUAUCUCAGCUUCUAUGGGAGCUAUCGGGAAAAUUCCAACGGUUUUGUCUUAGUUUCGUCAUUCUGAAUCCAACGAGACCAUCCGCAAGGUCAUAGCUCUAAUAGUAGCUGAGAUAUGGCAUUUUUGGAGCCCAUUUUUGGCCUCAAAAACGAGGUCCAAAAAAUACUCGAUUUCUUAGUUCUGCUCGGAUUCCCUUAUAACCCGGUAUUUUCGUGAUCUACUUGAUGAGAACAAUCCGCUGGUAUAGUUAGUUCAAAUUCGAAAAAAAAAAUUUUUUCUGAAAAAAAUCGAAACGGGGGGGUAUACCCGAAAAAUGAAAAAACCCAAACUUUGAAGGCCGAUAUCUCAGCUUCUAUGGGAGCUAUCGGGAAAAUUCCAACGGUUUUGUCUUAGUUUCGUCAUUCUGAAUCCAACGAGACCAUCCACAAGGUCAUAGCUCUAAUAGUAGCUGAGAUAUGGCAUUUUUGGAGCCCAUUUUUGGCCUCAAAAACGAGGUCCAAAAAAUACUCGAUUUCUUAGUUCUGCUCGGAUUCCCUUAUAACCCGGUAUUUUCGUGAUCUACUUGAUGAGAACAAUCCGCUGGUAUAGUUAGUUCAAAUUCGAAAAAAAAAAUUUUUUCUGAAGAAAAUCGAAACGGGGGGGGUAUACCCGAAAAAUGAAAAAACCCAAACUUUGAAGGCCGAUAUCUCAGCUUCUAUGGGAGCUAUCGGGAAAAUUCCAACGGUUUUGUCUUAGUUUCGUCAUUCUGAAUCCAACGAGACCAUCCCCAAGGUCAUAGCUCUAAUAGUAGCUGAGAUAUGGCAUUUUUGGAGCCCAUUUUUGGCCUCAAAAACGAGGUCCAAAAAAUACUCGAUUUCUUAGUUCUGCUCGGAUUCCCUUAUAACCCGGUAUUUUCGUGAUCUACUUGAUGAGAACAAUCCGCUGGUAUAGUUAGUUCAAAUUCGAAAAAAAAAAUUUUUUCUGAAGAAAAUCGAAACGGGGGGGGUAUACCCGAAAAAUGAAAAAACCCAAACUUUGAAGGCCGAUAUCUCAGCUUCUAUGGGAGCUAUCGGGAAAAUUCCAACGGUUUUGUCUUAGUUUCGUCAUUCUGAAUCCAACGAGACCAUCCCCAAGGUCAUAGCUCUAAUAGUAGCUGAGAUAUGGCAUUUUUGGAGCCCAUUUUUGGCCUCAAAAACGAGGUCCAAAAAAUACUCGAUUUCUUAGUUCUGCUCGGAUUCCCUUAUAACCCGGUAUUUUCGUGAUCUACAAUUUACGAAAAGGUAGUGGCAUCAAUGGAUAGAAAAAGGAUACAGCUAUCAGCACGUGUAAUAAACAUUUUUAUAAAGUGUACCAUUAAACAGUAAUGAAUUUUCAAAAUAUAUUAAUAUUUGUUAAUCAGAGCGAUGUGGAACAAGAAAAAGUUUCCAAAUAAACGGUUUCGCAGUAAAAGCAUUAUCAUUCCUGACCAGUUUGAGGUACAUUAUUGGUAGUACCAUCAAAGGAUUGGAGAAGGAUAGAGCUAUAAGUACGUAUAAUUAUCAUUUUUAUAAAGCGUUUCGUUAAACAGUAAUGAAUUUUCAAAAUAGGUUAAUAAUUAUUAAUCAGAGCAUUGUGGGAUAAGAGUUUUUAGAUAAAAAUUACUUAAUGUGAGUCUUUGUGUUAAAGUUGCAAAUUUUUGCACUGCAUCGCACUCUAACAUAUUAAUAUUGGUGUACCAGGAUAUGUGUGGAAAAGUGGAAUAUUCUAUAUUUCAAUCUCCGAUACUUACGAAAUGGUGUCCCCAUUAGCUUUAUUAUAAAC